RNAcentral lists this ribosomal RNA (776 nucleotides) under uncultured Staphylococcus sp. Its description in RNAcentral is "bacterial SSU rRNA". It matches the Rfam family "Bacterial small subunit ribosomal RNA", at positions 83 to 845 of the family's 1533-position model. Lineage: Bacteria; Bacillati; Bacillota; Bacilli; Caryophanales; Staphylococcaceae. The record is from RNAcentral.
UCUCUGAUGUUAGCGGCGGACGGGUGAGUAACACGUGGAUAACCUACCUAUAAGACUGGGAUAACUUCGGGAAACCGGAGCUAAUACCGGAUAAUAUUUUGAACCGCAUGGUUCAAAAGUGAAAGACGGUCUUGCUGUCACUUAUAGAUGGAUCCGCGCUGCAUUAGCUAGUUGGUAAGGUAACGGCUUACCAAGGCAACGAUGCAUAGCCGACCUGAGAGGGUGAUCGGCCACACUGGAACUGAGACACGGUCCAGACUCCUACGGGAGGCAGCAGUAGGGAAUCUUCCGCAAUGGGCGAAAGCCUGACGGAGCAACGCCGCGUGAGUGAUGAAGGUCUUCGGAUCGUAAAACUCUGUUAUUAGGGAAGAACAUAUGUGUAAGUAACUGUGCACAUCUUGACGGUACCUAAUCAGAAAGCCACGGCUAACUACGUGCCAGCAGCCGCGGUAAUACGUAGGUGGCAAGCGUUAUCCGGAAUUAUUGGGCGUAAAGCGCGCGUAGGCGGUUUUUUAAGUCUGAUGUGAAAGCCCACGGCUCAACCGUGGAGGGUCAUUGGAAACUGGAAAACUUGAGUGCAGAAGCCGCGCAAAGUGGAAUUCCAUGUGUAGCGGUGAAAUGCGCAGAGAUAUGGAGGAACACCAGUGGCGAAGGCGACUUUCUGGUCUGUAACUGACGCUGAUGUGCGAAAGCGUGGGGAUCAACAGGAUUAGAUACCCUGGUAGUCCACGCCGUAAACGAUGCCCCUAAGUGUUAGGGGUUUCCGCCCCGUAGUG